CGCGGGGUAGAGCAGUCUGGUAGCUCGUCAGGCUCAUAAUCUGGAGGUCGUCGGUUCGAAUCCGGCCCCCGCAACCA
RNAcentral lists this transfer RNA (77 nucleotides) under Halanaerobium hydrogeniformans. Its description in RNAcentral is "tRNA-fMet (CAT) (tRNA-fMet-CAT-2-1)". It matches the Rfam family "tRNA". Rfam says of the family: Transfer RNA (tRNA) molecules are approximately 80 nucleotides in length. Their secondary structure includes four short double-helical elements and three loops (D, anti-codon, and T loops). Further hydrogen bonds mediate the characteristic L-shaped molecular structure. tRNAs have two regions of fundamental functional importance: the anti-codon, which is responsible for specific mRNA codon recognition, and the 3' end, to which the tRNAs corresponding amino acid is attached (by aminoacyl-tRNA synthetases). tRNAs cope with the degeneracy of the genetic code in two manners: having more than one tRNA (with a specific anti-codon) for a particular amino acid; and 'wobble' base-pairing, i.e. permitting non-standard base-pairing at the 3rd anti-codon position. Lineage: Bacteria; Bacillati; Bacillota; Clostridia; Halanaerobiales; Halanaerobiaceae. The record is from RNAcentral.